This 253-nucleotide ribosomal RNA is filed under the name uncultured bacterium. RNAcentral describes it as "partial 16S ribosomal RNA". It matches the Rfam family "Bacterial small subunit ribosomal RNA", at positions 524 to 776 of the family's 1533-position model. The record is from RNAcentral.
UACGUAGGGUGCAAGCGUUAAUCGGAAUUACUGGGCGUAAAGCGUGCGCAGGCGGUGAUGUAAGACAGAUGUGAAAUCCCCGGGCUUAACCUGGGAACUGCAUUGGUGACUGCAAGGCUUGAGUGUGUCAGAGGGAGGUGGAAUUCCGCGUGUAGCAGUGAAAUGCGUAGAUAUGCGGAGGAACACCGAUGGCGAAGGCAGCCUCCUGGGAUAACACUGACGCUCAUGCACGAAAGCGUGGGGAGCAAACAGG